UACGAAGGGGGCUAGCGUUGUUCGGAUUUACUGGGCGUAAAGCGCACGUAGGCGGAUCAUUAAGUCGGGGGUGAAAUCCUGGAGCUCAACUCCAGAACUGCCUUCGAUACUGAAGAUCUCGAGUCCGGGAGAGGUGAGUGGAACUCCGAGUGUAGAGGUGAAAUUCGUAGAUAUUCGGAAGAACACCAGUGGCGAAGGCGGCUCACUGGCCCGGUACUAACGCUGAGGUGCGAAAGCGUGGGGAGCAAACAGG
Molecule: ribosomal RNA, 253 nt
Filed under: uncultured bacterium
Lineage: Bacteria
Description: partial 16S ribosomal RNA
Rfam family: Bacterial small subunit ribosomal RNA
Source: RNAcentral